RNAcentral lists this long non-coding RNA (2636 nucleotides) under Homo sapiens (human). RNAcentral's name for it is "HSALNT0188361". Lineage: Eukaryota; Metazoa; Chordata; Mammalia; Primates; Hominidae. The record is from RNAcentral.
CGGGAUAGCUGUUACCUCUAGGAAAGAGAACACCAAAGUCUAGCUGUUGGUUCCAGGCCAGCUCAGGGCAACACUGAGGGCUACUGAUAGUACCAGGCCAGCUCCUGGAUGUCAGGCCUACUUUUCUCCUUAGCAGAGAGGGUCUCCUUGCUAUCCUCUGACCAUGCUACCUCACGCCAAUCCCCAAAGCCAGGAAUAGGUGAGUUGUUUGUAGUAAGAGAACUCCCAUUUUCAUCAGUGGAACUGGACAACUACACUGGUCCAAUUCAGGCAAAUGGAUAGAGUUCACAGCACCAAACCAGGAAAUUUAAGACAAGAAUCAAGUAUGUAAAUCUGUGAGUGCUGUCGUUUCUUGAGGAUGGAAAAUAGGCCAAAUGAAUCCUGCAUUCUAAACCUCAACAGUGGAGCAAUAAUUUCUCUCACAAAUGCUGAAUAUUUUUGGUUCUUUUUACCAGACAAUAGCUUGAUUGCACUGCUAGGUCUCCUCAUUUAAGGAGCAAGGUGAAAAUAGCAAAUAUGGGCAAAGAAGAAAGCCCUAGGCUGGAAGAUAAAGGCCAGGAUAUGUAUGAAAUUAAAGGCAAGCAUUCACUGAAUGUGCUGUCUGAGUCUUACUCCCAGUGGGUGGAGGGGUGGGGUGAGAGGAAGAGGGCUAGCCACCCAGCAUAAUUUAGGUAAAGUUAUGGGAAUGUUCUGCAGACAUUUUCUAAGUAAUCAAAUGCUGCUCAAUUUUUAUUUUUUCACAAUAGCUGUUUGGGCUGAUGUUGCUCAAUCUUAAUACAAACUGCAUUCUUAGUUGAGUACUGAAUGUGAGUGAAUUAUGUGCUUGAACAUUUAACUAAAGCAUAAAUACUUGAAAACCUCUUUAUCAGGCACUGUGCUAGUAGGCCUUGGGAAGUCCAGAGUAAACAAGACUCAUGGAACUUUCAUUCUAGUAGGGAGGCUAACAAGCAACUACUGAAGCCAUUGCAGAGUGAGGUAAGCCAUACAAAGGAAAUAAAGAGUGCUAUGACAGAUCAUCACAGAAAUGGUCCUGAAAGGCCUCUUAGGAGGGAACUUGCAAGGUGAGAAUGGAAGGAUGAGUUAGGAAUUAAAAGACCUAGGAAGUAUGGGAUAUAGAACAAUGCGGUAAAGGAAAUAGCAAGUGCAAAGGCCCAAGUUAUAAAAGAGCUUGUUGUGCUGUAUCAACAGAAAGAAGUCCUGUGUGGUUGAAAGAAUAAAGAGCAAUAAAGAGAGUUCCAGAAGAUGACAUUGCCAGGGCAGGUAGAAGCCUGAUCAUGUUAGACAGUUAGACAUAGUAAAGGUUUUAUUUUGGAGUGAUGGAUUUCAGACUUCUGACUUCCAGAAUUAGGAGAUAAAUGUGUGUUAUUUUAAGUCACCAAGUUUGUGGUGUUUUUUUACAGCAGCCACAGGAAAUUAAUAUAACUGCGAAGGAAAAGAUUUCCCCUGCUCGAGUCUCCCUGCACUCCUACCCAUCUGAGAGAAACAGAACUGUUGAGUAGCUGAUGCAAUUUCAUCCAUAAUAUUGUGGAUUCACCAUUGAUUCAGCAUCUGAUCCUCAGCACUGUAUAUCUAAGAACUCAUUCUCCUUGGUUCAUCAGGCAUGAUCAGAUUAAGGAUUCAUACACACUGACCUAACUCACAGGAGAGAGUUAUAAAUCAGAACACCAAUUUAUUGCCUUGUUCAUGGAAAUAGAAACACUACAUGUGUCAGCUUACUCAGAUCAGCAGCUAAACACUGUUCAGUGUUGAUUGGGAAAUAUAAAGCCAGAAUGAAGGCAGCUGGUUCAUCUUGAUAGCAAAUGUUACCAAAUCUCAUAGUCUGGUGCCCUAAUCUCCAUGGGAUUAGAACAUGUACAUCGACCAGAGAGGUUCUCUUUCUCCUGACUAUGCUGGGACAUUCUGGCAAAUUCUGACUCAUCACUCCCUUUCUAGAAUCCUUAAAGACCAUCAUCACGCUAUUUCAAGAAUAUUCCUUCAGAUGUGUUACAAAGAUUAAAUGUUGAUUUAUGGUAUCUCUAAAGAUUUGGAUUGUAGUCUCAUCAGAAAUAUUUAUUUAUAAGCCAUCUCUUCAUUCACUCGUUGAUUCAUCCAGAAAUGCUAUUCAGUAUUUAUUAAGUGCCAGGCGUUGUGCUAAGAUUUGAGACACAGAGAUAAGAUAAAGGUCCCAUUCUCCAAGACUCUUGUUUUUUUAGUGGAUUAAAAGCUGCUAAUGUAUUCCUUCUGUAGAUAUACAUAAUUUCACCAAUUUCUUGUGACUUCAUGAACCUUAUUUUUGCAAGACAACAUGUCCUAAUUCUUGUCAAAUUUAGGGAUGGUGGUAUUGGGGAGCUACAAACCAGUCAAAUCAAUUCAAUGAAAAAUCCUAUUAUUUGAACAAUUUUAAUCACAUCUGAUUUUGACUAUUUUAUCUAAGUGUUAACAUUUCACUAGUUGAGUGUUACAAUGAGCCUAGCAUUUAAACAGUCUUAGUUAUGUUAACAUUCUUAAAAACAGAGAAGUGGCAGCCAGGCACGGUGGCUCAUGCCUGUAAUCCCAGCACUUUGGGAGGCCGAGGCGGGCGGACGCCUGAGGUCAGGAGUUCAAGACCAGCCUGACCAACACGGAGAAACCUCGUCUCUACUAAAAAUACAAAAUUA